Protobothrops mucrosquamatus (brown spotted pit viper) is the source of this 403-nucleotide non-coding RNA. Lineage: Eukaryota; Metazoa; Chordata; Lepidosauria; Squamata; Viperidae. The record is from the annotation of a RefSeq genome assembly.
CAUCAUGGCUUGGAUUCUUUUUAUCUUCAUAGUCCUAACUUUGUUCGGGUCCAGUAUCCAGCAAUUGCAGAGCUUGAAAGAUCCAGAUUUUGUAGCUCUAGCAGGGACAAUCACCAUAUCCUGUAGAUAUGACAGUGGAACCAUCACUGACAGCAAUUACCCUGUGUGGGUCCAACAGAAGUCAGAGCAGACUCCAAGGCUCUUAAUACACAGCACCAGCACCAGACACACAGGCGUUCCAGCACGUUUCUCUGGCUCCAGGUCAGGGAACACCAUGUCCCUGACCAUCACAGGGACCUUAGUGGAAGACGAGGCUGUGUAUUACUGUGGUGUCUGGACUGGAAGCGGGCGCACAGUCUCUGAUUCAGAUAGAGAAGUGAGACAAAAACCUUACAGGAUAUGA